GCCUGGGUGGCUUAGUCGGUUAAGCGUCUGGCUUCAGCUCAGGUCAUGAUCCUGGAGUCCUGGGAUCUAACCCCAGGUCAGGUU
RNAcentral lists this transfer RNA (84 nucleotides) under Mustela putorius furo (domestic ferret). It matches the Rfam family "tRNA". Rfam says of the family: Transfer RNA (tRNA) molecules are approximately 80 nucleotides in length. Their secondary structure includes four short double-helical elements and three loops (D, anti-codon, and T loops). The record is from Rfam by way of RNAcentral. Lineage: Eukaryota; Metazoa; Chordata; Mammalia; Carnivora; Mustelidae.